UACAGAGGUGGCAAGCGUUGUUCGGAAUUACUGGGCGUAAAGGGCGCGUAGGCGGCCUUCUAAGUCAGACGUGAAAUCCCCCGGCUUAACCUGGGAACUGCGUCUGAUACUGGGAGGCUUGAGUAUGGGAGAGGGAUGUAGAAUUCCAGGUGUAGCGGUGAAAUGCGUAGAUAUCGUGAGGAAGACCAGUGGCGAAGGCGGGUCUCUGGACAGUUCCUGACGCUGAGGCGCGAAGGCCAGGGGAGCAAACGGG
RNAcentral lists this ribosomal RNA (253 nucleotides) under uncultured bacterium. Its description in RNAcentral is "partial 16S ribosomal RNA". It matches the Rfam family "Bacterial small subunit ribosomal RNA", at positions 524 to 776 of the family's 1533-position model. The record is from RNAcentral.